GAUGAACGCUAGCUACAGGCUUAACACAUGCAAGUCGAGGGGCAGCAUGGCGGAUGCUUGCAUCUGCCGAUGGCGACCGGCGCACGGGUGAGUAACGCGUAUCCAACCUGCCCAUAACUAGGGGAUAACCGGUAGAAAUGCCGACUAAUACCCUAUGUGCUCCGCUGAGGACAUCCGACGUGGAGUAAAGAUUCAUCGGUUAUGGAUGGGGAUGCGUCUGAUUAGCUUGUUGGCGGGGUAACGCCCACCAAGGCAACGAUCAGUAGGGGUUCUGAGAGGAAGGUCCCCCACAUUGGAACUGAGACACGGUCCAA
RNAcentral lists this ribosomal RNA (314 nucleotides) under uncultured bacterium. RNAcentral describes it as "bacterial SSU rRNA". It matches the Rfam family "Bacterial small subunit ribosomal RNA", at positions 28 to 334 of the family's 1533-position model. The record is from RNAcentral.